UUCGUCACAGACAGUGCUUGCCUGCGCCCCGUCGAAGCGGAUCGGACGGAUUUAUUUAAAAAAAAAAAAAAAAAAAAACAAAACAAAAAAGAAUACUUCGUACGGUUCUUCUUAGCGUUUUGACAGAAGCGACGCAUUUUUUACCCUUUAGGUUACAGUAAACGGAUACCAGGGUAUAUAUUCUUCCACGGUAUACAUUUUCAGUGUAUUGGAAUGUGUCGCCGCCUUUGCGGAACUUACGUUUGUAGCUGCCGAUCCCCGCGGACACCAUUCGACGUUGUACUUUAAUGGGACUUCCUGUUUGGGGCAGUCAAACUUGUUGGAAUUAAAAGCAGAUUCAGAGCACAGUUAGAGAGGUUUCUUACUCUGCUGUUGCCUCUGUGGCGAAUCCCGUCGAUGUUUUACCACGCCACGGUCUUUCAGAAAUAAGAAAGCUCUGUUUGUUCUUUGUGUCAGAAGUUGCCACCUGAAUACCAGAUCAUCAUGUGAGAAAAAUGGGAGUUCUGCUGCCAGCUGAAGUUGACCUCUGACCCUGCUGAUGAGCCUGGACUUGUGAGGAAGCAGGUUUAACUGACCUGCUGUUUAUGGGAUGAGACAGACUGUUCCUUUGGUUUAACAUCCAGUUGUGGAUCACAUUUCACAGUUCCGGAUAUGUCAAGUAACACUUUGACUUAGUUUAAAGCCAGCGAGGAGAAGAAAAGAAAAAGUUGUACCGGACAAGAACAAAGUAUAAGACAUAUUUGAUUGUGUUGCACUGAAAGGGACUGACCCGAUACCCCCAUCAUCAGCUGUCCCUUUUCACAAGUCUGUCAAUGGUCACACUCCAUUGUAUCAUCAUAGAAAAUCCAUUUUAUGCACACAGUUGUGCUGCUUUAAAAAGGACAGGAAGUCUUACAAAAUCAGACACGUAGGUGCAGUUGAUUACAAAUGAUAAAAGCAAUUAAAAAUAGUCUGUGACAGUGCACAGAGUGACUCAAAGCAAUUUUUUUUUCCAUGGUGCCAAGUACAUUCAGAAAAAACAACACAUUACACACUUUGUAGUCAUAAGGAAGCCCCCUUCCCUCAGAGAGCCUCUCUGCAUGGUGCAGUCUUGUCCUGGACCACUGAGCUCAGUUCGACUCUUCCACAUUACAUAAAAUCCCUCUCGAUUAAUGAAUGACAAUUUACAAUAAGAGAAAUUCCCCCACCUUCCAAAUGUGGUUUAAUGUUUCUUUCCUUUCUCAGCACAAAGAACUGAACGGUGUACAAGUUGUGCAAUUUCCUCAGACACUCCUUAAGCUAUUUCAGGUCACCAUGAGAAAGGACACUAACGUUACCAUUAGAAAGCGACCAGUUUCCUCUGAACAGAUCUGAAAUGCGAGGCCCUGAAAGUGGAGGAAACAGUGAAGAGGGAAAGAAAAAGGAAAGAUUUGUUCCCCUCCCUUUUGGCAGCAUACAUCAUUACAGGGAAAAGAAAAUUGUUCUGCUUCAGGUAAUUUCACAGACACCAUAUUUCCUGGGGGGGGUGUCACCAUCUAUGAUCGGGAUGCACUCCCACACACAAACACACGUACACCUACGGACUAGCGUUAUAUUUGCAUCUGAAGUUUGACAAAACAGCAAACCCGUUCUCCCAGACAGAUGACAGCCAGUCCUACACAAAGAUUUUCAUCUAAGGAU
This is a long non-coding RNA of Scleropages formosus (Asian bonytongue), 1659 nucleotides long. RefSeq lists it as uncharacterized. Lineage: Eukaryota; Metazoa; Chordata; Actinopteri; Osteoglossiformes; Osteoglossidae. The record is from RefSeq and is a predicted model, not a curated record. The transcript is spliced from 3 exons.